Non-coding RNA from Blumeria graminis, 162 nucleotides. NCBI's taxonomy places the organism in Eukaryota, Fungi, Ascomycota, Leotiomycetes, Helotiales, Erysiphaceae. The record is from Rfam.
GGCCGGGUGGUGUAGCGGUUAUCACAACAGCUUUACAAGUCGGUUGCUCUUUAAAAUCUUGACCAUGUGUUUCGGCCUUCGGGCCGCAUUCACGUAAUCGGUCCUGGUGGAGGGGGUGGCUCCUUUCGCUGUUGGUCGCGAGUUCGAUCCUCGCCCUGGUCA